Molecule: ribosomal RNA, 382 nt
Filed under: uncultured marine Chaetocerotaceae
Lineage: Eukaryota; Bacillariophyta; Thalassiosirophyceae; Chaetocerotales; Chaetocerotaceae
Description: SSU rRNA
Rfam family: Eukaryotic small subunit ribosomal RNA
Source: RNAcentral
AGCUUCAGUAGCGUAUAUUAAAGUUGUUGCAGUUAAAAAGCUCGUAGUCGCAUUUCUGGCGAGAGGAUCCGGUCCGACCUUUUGGUGGGUUCUUGGGUCUCUUUCGCCAUCCUUGAGUGGUCCGUUCUGGCAUUAGGUUGUCGGAGCGUCAGCCGCUCAUCGUUUACUGUGAGAAAAUUAGAGUGUUCAAAGCAGGCUUAUGCCGUUGAAUAUAUUAGCAUGGAAUAAUAAGAUAGGACCUAGGUACUAUUUUGUUGGUUUGAGCACCAAGGUAAUGAUGAACAGGGACAGUUGGGGGUAUUUGUAUUUCGUUGUCAGAGGUGAAAUUCUUAGAUUUACGAAAGACAAACUACUGCGAAAGCAUUUACCAAGGAUGUUUUCA